RNAcentral lists this long non-coding RNA (284 nucleotides) under Scleropages formosus (Asian bonytongue). RNAcentral describes it as "lncRNA (ENSSFOG00015027722.1)". Lineage: Eukaryota; Metazoa; Chordata; Actinopteri; Osteoglossiformes; Osteoglossidae. The record is from RNAcentral.
GUUCCGUCAAACAGCUGUGAAGGGAAGUACUUCACGGAACCACCCUGUGGGACGACGGCCUCGCUGGGCUUCCACCCGUCAGCGUGCUUAGAGCUGCUGCCUUGGGCCCCAGAAGCUGCAGGUUUGAAUCCCAGCUCCAGCAGUCAGAGAGUUCCAAGGGAAGCAGGUUUACAGCAACGACUCCACGCUCCAGCCCAUCGAAGCGGCUCAGCCAGGCAGACAGAUGCACAGAAACGCGGAGGUGCAUCUGAUGCAGAAUUUGAAGAUAAUUCUCAAAAUCCAAC